Molecule: long non-coding RNA, 4560 nt
Organism: Peromyscus leucopus (white-footed mouse)
Lineage: Eukaryota; Metazoa; Chordata; Mammalia; Rodentia; Cricetidae
Exons: 4
Source: RefSeq, a predicted model, not a curated record
GGUAAUUAAUGGUUUCACUCCAUUUGGUAUUUCAUGGUCCUGUGUGUGCCAGGCAUUGUGAUGGGUCCAUUAGAUAUAAAAUGAAGGUAUCAUGGACACCGAAUGAGGAAGAGCAGUCAAUUAAACCAGAAACACAAACUAAUAGUGUAGACAGCAAUCACAGUGAUUGCUUGAAAGGGGAAAUGCCAACCAAUCCAACUUGCAGUCAUGUUUGCACAAGUCUAGAAAUGCAGAAUGACUGUGCCUCCUGAAUUGGCAUAGUGAGAUUCAUGUUGUGGUUCCUCUGCACAAAGAGAGUGGCUGGUCUGGAGGAAAGCCUGUUUCAAUCGAAAGCUCUGAGUCUCAACACUGGACAUUCCAGGAAGAGUCCCUCAGACUCUGAAUAUGCUUCUGAAGACAGCAAGUAAAGGAAUGCUUUCUUAGGCGUGAUAGCUGAGCAUUGGGGGGCCCAGCAUGGGUAGCACACGAAGACUUACCUGCUACUUGCACUUAAGCAAACUAGAACUUUUCCUCGCAGCAGACCCUGACACGUUUGGAAAAAGGAAGAUCUCACGAAGUAGGGGAGCCUGGGACUCAGAGAGAGGACACGGGGUGACACUGAAGGUUUCCAUCUGACAAACAGUGUGCUUCCUUCCCAGCAAAUGGCGGCUUGAUAUUCCAUACAGCUUUAGUGGACCCACCCCGGAUUCUCCUGAUUGGUGGCUUCCUUCAUUUGUUCGUCCUUCUAAUCAUCCCCCACAGAAGAGAGGUCCGGAUCCAGGAAGUAGUAAGGAAGAGAUGAGUUCAGGUCAGGAAAGACUACUAAAAGGGUUCUCAGAAGAUUCUCCUGAAGCUGGACCUGGGAAGCUCUUUUCUAGGCUACCCGAGACAAGCAGAGGAUAAAGUCAAAGAGAGCACAAGGACCAAGAGAUGCCCGAACAAACUCGAAUGGGUUGUCGUUAGGUCACACUGCACCAAGAGGUGCCUGAGCCAGCCUGCAGCCUGGCCACAAGGAAACAUCUCAGCGGGAAUACUCCACAGCUGCUUGCCUCUGGCAGCUUGGCGGCAGGUGUUUCCAUCCACAUUUCCUCUCUUGUCUGGUUUCUAGGAAGUGCACAGAAAGGUGGUGGAACUCCCCAGAAUCCCUCUGUGGCUUCAGGAGAAGAAACCCUUUGGACCAAUUAAGGUCUAUUCUGGACAGCAAAGGGAGGGUCAUAGAGGAGGUGUCUGGUGUGAGUUAGUCCUUUGUCCAUUGUUUUAACCACGACAGCAGAGCCAAAGUAUCUAGCUGGAUCUGCUGCAGCUGUUCUGCUUCAGAAAGUGUUUUCACAGAGAGCCAGGGCAGGUGGGCUGAUAGGGACUUUUAGGAAAGCAAGGGAUGGAAUCAAAGCCCUGGCAGUGGGAGAACAUUGCCCUGGUAGCAGGAUGCCCCCAUUUGGGCCUUCCUACUGUGGCCAUGGAUGUACAUUGGUUCUUUGGAGAGUGAAUGGCUUUGGGUUCUAGCUGGCAGAUGGAGUCUGCUAAGGGAGAGCCUUUGAAGAUUUCACCUAAGCCCAGUUCUGGUGUAGCUCCCUGAUUUCUGAUAUGACGAGAUGGAAAGUACUGUCCAUCCAGAACAGAUGGAGUGACCCCAGCAGCUCCCCAUGGUGAUGGACUACGCCCCCUGAAACUGUGAGCCAUAGUGAACCUUUUCCAUUAAGUUGAAUCUGUCAGGUCCUGUGCUGCACGAACAAAAGAUGUAACUACCACAGUGCCUGAUCCAGAUGGUAGGUCUGCUGUCCUUUGUUCACAUUUGCUACCUUGCCAGAAUGUAGCCUAUACCUCUGUCAUCAGGAAGGGAUGAGUGGACAUGGGCAGUUUAAUUCUUGCCAGGGCCAUUGUUCGAUUUGUCACGGCAAUUAUAAAAGCCAUUGUCACUUUCCAAAGAACAAGGGACAGGCUGAAAAUGGAAAUGGAAAUAAAGAAGUGGUGGCUGUUUCUGCAGACGUUCAGCUCUUCGCUGUGUCCAGAAGAGGGGUGUUUAACACUGUUGUUGAUGCGCUGGUUGCUGACCUGUGAUUUACACUGGCUUAUUCAUAUUUGAAUUAAUUUUGUGAACAUCUUGCAUGAAACUAUUAAGGGAGACUCCCACCUAUGGUAUGAUAGGAAGUUAUAAGUUCCUGCUGUUUCUGGGAUGUCUGUAAAAUCAAACUAACCCAGGCUUUGCUGUCUUUUAAUAUCACUGCCUAUUUGUAGAUCAUGAUCUCUUCUAAGUCUUUGUUAUGGCUCAAAUGAACAACACAGAGAGCCCUCAAUUGGUGGAAAUCAUAUCUAAAUGCUUUUUAUUGCUGUCACCCUGCACUGAUCUCCAUUCUUAGCCAAGGGGCAUUUUUACUGUGGUUUUUAUUUGGUUCUUUCUAUUUUCAUACAAAAGAACCAAUGUCUUGGUGACUUCUGCUCAGCAGUAUUCCUUGUUUGCAAUGUCUCUUCACACAAGCUCACUAGAGACUAUGUCUUAAUAACGGUUUUUAAAAGAUGAUUGAACAUGCAGGUGCAGACUGAUAGACUAGCUGACAAGCAUUUCUGCUCUCAUUUCUAAGAUGCUCUGACCAGCUUUACCCCAGGGAGUGCCCUGCACAGCCUGAAAAGUGUGAGGGGGAAUAAGUCCUAUUUCAUUUUUUCCCAUCCCCUUUGAUGGAUGCUCCAUGACAUUAUGAUCCUUUGAACUAAUGUCUGGGAGAAAAAAUAAAAACACUGAGGGAUAAAUGAAAUGUCAGUUAAUUCUGUUAUGCCAUUUAUUGACGUGCUGGCUGGGCUCAACCAUCCCCAGAGGACUCUCAGGAGAGCACAUUUGAUGGGAAAUAUAGAUUGCGUGGUACUAACAACCCAACAAGAGUAAUCACAGGGCCUGCGGUUGGCAGCAGAGCACGUCAAUCUGAGUCAACAGAACUGGAGAGAUUCUUCUGCUCUUCUUCCGUUUCCUACAUGGUGACCUGAGAAGUUUGGGAAGACUGGGUUGAAGAACUUACCAUUGUAUAUAACCUGCCUACCAACCAUUCCAGGUCAAUCCCAGCACAAUAAUGAAGGUAAAAUCUGAAUUUACACACACUUGGGGAAUUUUGCAUAACCCAGUGAUUACAGUUACUAACCAAACAGUCUGAAGGAAGAUAUGUGCUCCUUGAUUGUUGCUCACCAUUCCAUGCCAGCUAGAGAGCUGGCAAAUGCAUGAGUGAAGCUUCCUUAUUUCAUCUCAGCACAUUUUAUAAGGAUUUCAUAUUGAUAAGGAGUUUCACAGUCCCACCCUACAAUGAAUAGGUGUGAGCAGCCGGUAGCUAAGGUGAGGCAAUGACCUCGAUUUGCAAAAGGCGGCCAGCCCAGAAGGCAAUACAGGUCAGCAUUGCAGGAAGGUCACAUGUGUCUUAGUGAUCACAGAUCUUCUCUGAUUCAGAUUAGAUUAAGGGCUUGAAGUUGUAUGUCUCCGUAAGUACAGAACUCAGAAUCCUAGGUUGAGAACUAGUUGGCACAGUACAGAUAAUUUAAACUCUUACCACUCCAAAGUGUAGGCAGGGUGGGGAUGGGGGUGCCAGCAACCUCACCUGAGCUCUGGACAGAAAUCCAGAGUUAUAGCUCCUGAGACUGACAGUAGCAACAUCCCCAGGACACAGAGAAGCACAUUUAAGUUCUGAGUUCUGGGUGUGCUGGUCUCAUCCAAUCUUCGUGUGUUAUAGAUGAACUAAAUCAUAGUAGUCUAAAGGAACUCUUCAAGGACACAAACCAGGUUCCUGGAGAAGCAGAAGCCAUCCCAGCUCAUAACCUGGGUCUUAGAGACCUGCAUUUGAAUAGCAGGGAGAUAAGGACCUCCUCCCCAAACCCAAAGUGGCUCCCCCAGGUGAAAUUUGAAACAGUGACCUCCCAUAGGGCUGAUGCAGGGUUGGUUAACUUAAAAUUUCAACACUCCUUUUAGUGGAUUUGUUCCCUCUCAUCAAAGGAGGCCGAGCUUGCCUGGUGGUCGUUGAUCCUGACUAUUGAUGGAGAACUCAGAUGCCCUGAAAAUGGAACUAUUAUGUGACAGGGAAUAGGAACACAGUUUUUGUACCCACUGUUUGGGCAAUGCUCACCGUUGUAUUCCUCCCGGGGGCUUCACUGCUGCUCCUACUCCUCCCGGACUGCCCUCCCCCACAGUCUCAUUGGCAGGCCCCAUUUGUCACCUGUCUCUCCCAGAAGCUUCCUUUGGUCGCUCAGAUUCUCUUCCAUUCCCAUCCCCCACCCCCCCAACCGUAACAGGAAAUGAAACCAAGACAUACUGAAUAACCACUUUCUGAGUGUAUGAUUAUGUACUUUAGAAUGAAGUUUGUCAUGCUCUUUGCUAGGAUAACCAUAAAUAAGAAAUAAUGCUUACUGAUUUUAGCAGAAUGCUGGAUGCAAGUUACAUACACAUUAUUUUAUUUAAUCUUACUUUUAAAUUGAUAUUUCAAAAACUAAGUGUUAGUGUUUACUGGUCAUAGUGUCUCCUCUGAAAGGGAGCUCACUGCAUGUGGUUGUGGUAGUAUUGUGUUCUUCAAAAUAUUGUGUACCCUAAUAAACUUAUCUGGGGUCAGAGAA